AGUUUGAUCAUGGCUCAGAACGAACGCUGGCGGCAGGCUUAACACAUGCAAGUCGAACGCCCCGCAAGGGGAGUGGCAGACGGGUGAGUAACGCGUGGGAACAUACCCUUUCUGCGGAAUAGCUCCGGGAAACUGGAAUUAAUACCGCAUACGCCUACGGGGGAAAGAUUUAUCGGGGAAGGAUUGGCCCGCGUUGGAUUAGCUAGUUGGUGGGGUAAAGGCCUACCAAGGCGACGAUCCAUAGCUGGUCUGAGAGGAUGAUCAGCCACAUUGGGACUGAGACACGGCCCAAACUCCUACGGGAGGCAGCAGUGGGGAAUAUUGGACAAUGGGCGCAAGCCUGAUCCAGCCAUGCCGCGUGAGUGAUGAAGGCCUUAGGGUUGUAAAGCUCUUUCACCGGAGAAGAUAAUGACGGUAUCCGGAGAAGAAGCCCCGGCUAACUUCGUGCCAGCAGCCGCGGUAAUACGAAGGGGGCUAGCGUUGUUCGGAAUUACUGGGCGUAAAGCGCACGUAGGCGGAUAUUUAAGUCAGGGGUGAAAUCCCAGAGCUCAACUCUGGAACUGCCUUUGAUANUGGGUAUCUUGAGUAUGGAAGAGGUAAGUGGAAUUCCGAGUGUAGAGGUGAAAUUCGUAGAUAUUCGGAGGAACACCAGUGGCGAAGGCNGCUUACUGGUCCAU
RNAcentral lists this ribosomal RNA (677 nucleotides) under Agrobacterium sp. GWS-TZ-H187. Its description in RNAcentral is "bacterial SSU rRNA". It matches the Rfam family "Bacterial small subunit ribosomal RNA", at positions 10 to 737 of the family's 1533-position model. The record is from RNAcentral. Lineage: Bacteria; Pseudomonadati; Pseudomonadota; Alphaproteobacteria; Hyphomicrobiales; Rhizobiaceae.